Molecule: non-coding RNA, 77 nt
Organism: Hysterangium stoloniferum
Lineage: Eukaryota; Fungi; Basidiomycota; Agaricomycetes; Hysterangiales; Hysterangiaceae
Source: the annotation of a GenBank genome assembly
GGUCCAGUAGCUCAGUGAUUAGAGUACUGGCAUAUAUUUUAUCCAGGAGAUCCUUGGUUCAAUCUCAGGUUGGGUGA